UAAGUGGAUAGUGAACCUGGUGGCUCAACCAUACAGACUAUUAUCCAAACCUAGUUAAGCUCGAGAAUGGUAGAGGUGGCUGGAAUUUCUAGUGUAGGGGUGGAAAUCCGUAGAUAUUAGAAGGAACACCGAUGGCGUAGGCAGGCCACUGGACCAUUUCUGACGCUAAGGCACGAAAGCGUGGGGAGCGAACCGGAUUAGAUACCCGGGUAGUCCACGCCGUAAACGAUGGAUGCUA
RNAcentral lists this ribosomal RNA (238 nucleotides) under uncultured Candidatus Saccharibacteria bacterium. Its description in RNAcentral is "partial 16S ribosomal RNA". It matches the Rfam family "Bacterial small subunit ribosomal RNA", at positions 584 to 818 of the family's 1533-position model. Lineage: Bacteria; Candidatus Saccharimonadota. The record is from RNAcentral.